GCCGGUUUUAUGUUUUGGGAACCAUUUAGAUUGGAUAAACGAGCAUUUGUCUCCACCUACGGGCCUAUACCUGUUUGAGAGGAACCGUAGCAUUUCUACUGGAAGUUAAGGUUUUGUGCCUUGAGUUUCUUGGCGACAGGCUCUUACCAGUGGAUCGUGUGUGUCUCGCAACAUUUGCUGCAGCGAACAACUAGUCGUUGCAUUAGGCAAGUUGUGGAAGCCCUCAAUCAUCCGAAUGUAAUAAGUAAAUGGGUGUUCCCACAAACGCAACAAGUUAAGCCCAGAGGUUCCAAAUAAGAUUUCAUUUAUCUGUAGUAAUAGGGUGCAUUGACUGCACCCACGUAACCAUUGUGAAGUCCAUGGUAGAUGAGCAUCUUUUUUAUAAAAGUAUACCACUCAUUAAA
This is a long non-coding RNA of Hyposmocoma kahamanoa, 404 nucleotides long. RefSeq lists it as uncharacterized. Lineage: Eukaryota; Metazoa; Arthropoda; Insecta; Lepidoptera; Cosmopterigidae. The record is from RefSeq and is a predicted model, not a curated record. The transcript has 3 exons.